This 699-nucleotide ribosomal RNA is filed under the name uncultured Acidobacteriota bacterium. Its description in RNAcentral is "bacterial SSU rRNA". It matches the Rfam family "Bacterial small subunit ribosomal RNA", at positions 53 to 758 of the family's 1533-position model. The record is from RNAcentral. Lineage: Bacteria; Pseudomonadati; Acidobacteriota.
ACAUGCAAGUCGAGCGAGAAAAGGGGGGCAACUCCCUGAGUAAAGCGGCGCACGGGUGAGUAACACGUGGGUAAUCUGCCCUGGAGUGGGGAAUAACACCGGGAAACCGGUGCUAAUACCGCAUACGAUAGCGGGAUCUGCGGAUUUCGUUAUGAAAGGAGCAAUUCGCUCUAGGAGGAGCCCGCGGCUGAUUAGCUAGUUGGUGAGGUAAUGGCUCACCAAGGCUACGAUCAGUAUCCGGUCUGAGAGGACGGUCGGACACACUGGAACUGAGACACGGUCCAGACUCCUACGGGAGGCAGCAGUGGGGAAUUUUUGGCAAUGGGGGCAACCCUGACCAAGCAACGCCGCGUGGGUGAUGAAGUCUCUUGGGACGUAAAACCCUUUCGACGGGGAAGAAACCGCAAGGUUGACGGUACCCGUAGAAGAAGCCCCGGCUAACUCCGUGCCAGCAGCCGCGGUAAUACGGGGGGGGCAAGCGUUGUUCGGAAUUACUGGGCGUAAAGGGUGCGUAGGCGGUCUGUUAAGUUGGAUGUGAAAACUCUGGGCUCAACCCAGAGCCUGCAUCCAAAACUGGCAGGCUAGAGUUCUGGAGGGGGUAGCGGAAUUCCUGGUGUAGCGGUGAAAUGCGUAGAUAUCAGGAGGAACACCGGUGGCGAAGGCGGCUACCUGGACAGAAACUGACGCUGAGGCACGAAA